Pteropus alecto (black flying fox) is the source of this 5159-nucleotide long non-coding RNA. RefSeq lists it as uncharacterized. NCBI's taxonomy places the organism in Eukaryota, Metazoa, Chordata, Mammalia, Chiroptera, Pteropodidae. The record is from RefSeq and is a predicted model, not a curated record. The transcript has 15 exons.
CACAUCAGGUGCUGUUCAAGGUUUCGGGGACAUGCCAUCGAAUGACACCUUCACUAACACCUGCUCACAAUGAGCUGACCUUCUAGUUGGGGAAGAUAGACAAUACACACAGACUGUAUAAUAUUUCAGGUGCUGAUAAUUUCCCAUGAGGAUUCAUCUCCAGAAAAGCCAGAAUCGUAAGAGAAUAAUUACAGUCUGCAGGUAUAUCCAGAGAAGAAUACAGAGAGGAAGUCAGUCUGUGCUCCAACGCUUAGAAUGUACCAGUAUGCCACCUCAUGUAAACAGACCGACAGCUGCAAGGUUCAAGGAAACUAGCAGACAUCACAAAAGCAGGAGGACAGUUAGACCCAGUGCACAAUCCAGGGCGGGCCCCUGAACUGCAGGGAGGACGUGCUACAAAACGCAGCACUGAUUGACACAACUGGAACGCUGGCUGCCAACUGGAGAAAUGUGUCGGCAUGGACUCAGGUGCUGCUUUACUUACUGUGCAUGAUGUUGGAGGCUCGGAAGUCUGGGUCCUGGGGCUGCACUCCGUCUGCACUGGGGAGGAAGCGCUGCAUGUUCUCCGUGAGGUACCAGCUUUGGUUCUCAUCAAAUACAGAAAACAGGAUGACGUUUCUCUUGUCUGACAUCAUCUGUUAAUUACACACAUGGAGAGAAACAAAUGCCGCUGCUGUUGUCAGCUGGGAUUUAGCAGCCUACACUGGAGCUGAAAAUGUAUGAAGAAGAAGAAAAAAAUCUCAAGUGCUAAAAAAAGAGAGACAUCAAUGCCAGAGUGGUAAGCAACGGUUGAUAAUCCAGGUGACCAUGAGAGUUUCAGGCCUGAAUAUAAGACAAAGGUCUGUGCACUGAAAUUGGAACUCACAUGGGGUAGCAAGAGAUGUGGCGAGAAAUAGGAACAAGAAGUAAGACCUGCCCUCAUGCUAAUGGGUCCCUCAGGAUAAGAAGUGUCUGAUUUUAGUCAUUAAGACUCACUUUGGGGUAUGUUGAAAACCUGAAGAUCCAGUCUAAAUCAGAAUUGCAACUUUAUAUCCUUCCUAAUCUCUCCCUCAUCCUUAUUAGGUUAAGCUUGACCUGAUAUUAGGGAACCUGUAGACGAGAAUGGUAUGGUAUGUUCUUUCAAUGUUUCUCAGCCUUUUAUCUUCCCUCUUCCGGUAGCUGAGAGCGAGGGUGGAUGGGUAUUGGAAGGAAGGGCACAUAGACUUUUGAUUAAUAGGUCCUCUCUCUUUGACAGUACUGUUUGGUCACUAAUGCUUUCUGUGUUGGCAGGUGCCAAAAUGCUGGUCUUAGGACACAUCUACAUUUUCCUUGGCGUCACCAUGGGGACCUCAGCACCGCACAGUUCCAUGAACUUAUUGAUAAAAGGUAGGAACGAACCAUGAAACCGAGGUAACGCUUACCUUUUGGCAAUCUCCCUUCGUGCAAAGGACUGACAUCAGUAAUUCCAUGAGGGAAGAUGUUAUAUGGUCGGCUUGCUUGAUUCUUAAAUAUAAUCUGAAAGUCCAAGUGAGAUACAAGAUCAAGUCCUAAGACGGAGAAGUAAGUCGUGAGUUUAUGUGGCAGUUAUAAAACAUGGCUCCCAAAUUCUUUGACACCUCUCUCAUCAUGAGUGGAACACACACGAUUGGAGCCCUGAGCCACCAUGUGAGAAGUCCCUAUCCCGAGGCCACCAUCGUGCGAGGAAACCAAGCCGCAUAGACAGCUGUGUGUUCUGGCUGACAGUUCUAGUCUUUGAGUCCUCCCCGUUCGGGUGCCAAACAUGAGCCCAAAAUUCAGACUGCAGCGCACUAACCUUCGUUAAAUACAGCAAAAAGUAGGACAAAUUCAUUCAAGGUCCGUGUCUUUUCUUCGGCCAGACUCCCUGAAAAAGAAGUGAGCAUUUAUCUUCUAUCGAAAAUCUUUUCAUAAGAAAUUGGCACUGGGAGGAGACAUUACUUCAUCAACUGCUUGAAAACUGUGUUUUCGGUGUCUUCUCUGAACCCUUCUCCUAAGCUCAGGUCAUGAAGAUUUUCUGCUACGUUUCCUAACAGUUUUAUGGUUUUACAUAUCACAUUUAGGUCUACAACCCAUAUGAGUUCAUCUCUGUAAUUUCCAAAUGGCUGGGCUGUGCAUCUUGUCAAAGUUCUGUAGUUGAGUUAAGCGGAGGAUAAAAGCUUCGUGGAUUCGUAAUGAUGUCUGCAGUUCUGGAGCAGCCCAAGCAUUCAAGAUGCUCUUCAUUUACAUUCCGUCUCAUCCCAUAACAUCUCCAACAGAGCAGGGCAGGAGACCCCUGCGCUGCUCCUGCUCUGCCCAUAUUUUUACUACAAACUCUCAGCAGCCAAAGGCCAAGUCUAAAGUACAGAUGACAGGACAGCAGGAGGGCAUUUGACUCACCUUCAGAAGCUUUCCAGUAGGAUACACCAACAGCAUGAAGACUGACCGCAUGGGAAGCCAUGUUCUUAAGUGUAAUGACCACAGUGUCAUAAACCUCAGCCCGGAUGGUAGGACCCAGCAGACCUUGACAAGAUCACCAUCUGUGAUCCAGGAAGAAGGCCUUCACCAGACACCAAAUCAGUUGGCACCUUCAUCUUGGACUUCCAGCCUCCAGGACUGUGAGAAAUACAUGUCUGCUGUUUAUAAGCCCCCCGGUCUGAGGUAUUUUGUUUAUCAGCCACCCAGUCUGUGGCAUUAGUCCAAACUGACUAAUAUAAUCCCUAACAUCUGUGAAAACAAAAUGCUGUUUUCAAAAGUCAUCUGAUACAUUAGGUGCCAUAUGAUAAGAUAAAUCACAAAAUCGAUACCCAGACGAUCCUUUGUCAAAGCAAUAACUACAGCAUCCUUCGAUUUCACCUCUAAAACAGACUAUAACUUUUAUCUAAGUACCUGUCCUCAAAUUUUGUCAGUAUGUACCUGGAAUUACACUUCCCUUCUUUGGGGUACCGAGAAUACCACAGAGAAAAUUACCUUCCAAUGAAGGCUGUGUAUAUUGAGACCUGCAGGUGCCAGCAGCUGUAAUUCAAGGUCAGCCCUCGACUAGUGCUCAUUCUGGUCUGCAGUCAGAUCCAUUUCCUUGUGGAUCAGUUACUGAAUCUGAAAUUUUAUAACUAUAUACAUGUCCCAGACUGUUAUUCUAUGCCUCAGUUAGUGAAACUAUUUUAGGCAAAGGCUGAUUCCCAACCUUUUCUUCUCUCUGUAACUGACAAGUCAGAUUAUUGCGUCCUGGAGCCCAGUUUAGGCUGAGUAAUCAAAAGGACCAGUGUGAAUCCCAGCGAAGAAGGCCCCAGGUGAAUUGGCAGAAAAUACAAAGUGUUCGAAGGAGACUAUUUAUUUCCACACACUGGUUUUUAUGUGCUAAUGAUUUUUGUACCCUAUGGAAUAGUGCUACAGUUUUCUAUAUGCCAUCGAGAACCUCUCUUCCUGGCUACGCUUCUGGACAUCUAACUCAUAUCUCACCAGAUUUUACCAAUUGGUAUUGUUUCGAUAAGCCAAGGGAGUACAGGCACAAGGCAGGGAUAUUCGGGGCAUCAAUAUUCGUGUAGAAAAAGCAAAGGCUCCUGCCCUAGAAAAAAGUUGUCAUGUGCAGAUCCUGGUCUCCAAACCUUGAUCGGUCAAAAAAAAUUGAGCAGUCACUCCCUCAACAGAUGUAUAUUCCCUCACUUAUAAACCAUAUACUACUACAUCCCACUGCGCCAUCACAAAACACGCACUAGAAAUAAAUGUGGAAAAAGAGAGGUUUUUAAAGACGUAUAAUUAGAUAUGGAGUUGGGUGUUGUUUCUUAUGUCUUAUUGACUCUUACGGGCUUUUCAAAAGCAGGAGAUGUGACAGAUUGAGGAUGGCACAAAUAAAUGGCGAUAUACUCGGUAUGGGUACCAGAAAGAACCUCAGACAUCAGCCAGUAAGAUACAUACAUCCUUGUUACACAUGACAGCAAUAAGGACAAAGUGGGGGAAAGGAGAGGCAGCUCCUGAUUGUGGAUGUUAGUAUGCUUGGAGCAAAAGGCACACCAUACCUGGGAUUAUCGGGAUGUGAAAUUAAUAACAAGGCGUCCGGUAGCUCUUGCUUACUUAUUUAUUUCUCAAUCUUUUGCUGAAAUAACAGAAAUCUCAAUGUUCCCUUUAAGAGCAGCCACACCAGAGAAUCAUUCAUUCCCAUAAGAAAUUUUGCUUUUUCUUAUAAAGGCUUUAUUAGGAAUGUGGAGGUAGUGAAGGAAAAUGAAAUCUAAAAAUGAUGAAAAUUGCUAAAUUGGAAACUCAGUGACCUACAGGGAUUGAAAUAUUUUUCAGUUUUUUUCGUAUCGUGGUAAGACACACAGUACAUAAAAUUUGCUAUCUUAAACACUUCAAAUGUAUAACUCAAUAAUAAUAAGUACAUUCAUAUUGUUGUAUAACCAUCACCACUAUCCACCUCCCUCGUAUCUUGCAAAACUGAAACUCUACAUCCAUGAAACAGUAACUCUCCAUUCCCCACUCCCCCAGUUCCUGAAACGACCAUUCUAAUUUCUGUCUCUGAUUUUGAAUACUCUUCAGUAUCUCAUAUACGUAGAACCAUACAGUAUUUAUCUUUUCGUUACUGGCUUAUUUCACUUAGCAUAAAGUCCUCAAGAUUCAUCUGUUUCAUAACGUGUCAGAAUAUGCUGAAUAACAUUCCAUUCUAUGUAUAUAACACAUUCUGUUUAUCUAUUCAUCCAUAGAUAGACAUUUGGGUUGCUUUCAUGUUUUAGUUAUUGAGAAUAAUGCUACUAUGUACAUGGGUUUACAAACACCUCUUCAAGCUCCUGCUUUCAAUUGUUUUGCAUAUAUACCCAAAAGCAGAUCAUAUGGUAAUUUUUGAAAAGUUCUUGAGAAACCACCAUACUGUUUUCCACAGUGGCUACACCAUUUUACAUUCUCACCAAUAGUACACAAAAGUUUCCAUUUCUCCAAGCCCUUGUUAGCACUUACUUUGUUUUUCGUGUAAUAGCCAUCCUAACGGAUGUGAAGUGCUAUCUCUUUUGUAGUUUUGACCUGCAUUUCCCUAAUGAUUAGUGAUAUUGGGCAUCUUUUCAUGUGCUUAUUGGCCAUUCGUAUAUCUUCUUCAGAGAAAUGCCUAUUAAAGUCCUUCGAUCAUUUUUUUCACCAUAUGUUUUUCUUUAAAAAUUGUUUUCAGUUACAGUUGACAUUGAAUAUUAUAUUAUUUUCAG